This 1865-nucleotide long non-coding RNA is filed under the name Mus musculus (house mouse). RNAcentral describes it as "POU domain, class 3, transcription factor 3 adjacent noncoding transcript 2". The record is from RNAcentral. Lineage: Eukaryota; Metazoa; Chordata; Mammalia; Rodentia; Muridae.
GGAGCCCGUCGGGCCGAGGGGAGACCCGGCCCGCGCUCUGCGGCCGGGGCGUAGCUCUAGCUCAUCCCCCACCAGUUCAGCCACGGUAGGAUGAGGAGGAUGAGGGUUUGCGGGAGGAAAAGCUUUGGAGAGAUGGGGUGCGGGACUAUGGAACCCGCUUGAGUCCAGUAGGCCAGCGCGGGUCAUUUCCAUAAGAAAGCCGCAACCCAGCUGGAGGCUGCGGUUCUUCAUGGCCUCCCUGCCCCCACCAUCAUUGGCAGCGUGUCGCGGGCUUCUCUGCAGCCUAGAUCUAGGCGACUGGUGUGGAUUGGUGUUGAUGAGAUGUGGCUUCCAGCGUUGCCCGACUCAGACCUGUUUCCAGUCUGGAUGGAGCGGACCGACUGUGUGGGAUGGGGUGAGAGGAACAAGUGAAACUCAACAGCUAAGGAGAAAAUGAAGAACUAGUGCUACGUUUUCCACGUUCUUUUUGCUCCGGGGUUGACAUGGCAUUUGGCCUUUCUACCUGGAGAAAAUCAAGAGUAUGUAACUUUCCCUGCAGAUGGUCUGUCUGUAAGGUAAGGCAUUCACAUUGGGAUCUCGCAAGUCUCCAUGUAUAUUUACGUAUUUUUAUCCCCAGUCACCUGUCUUGGUUUUCUGGCAAGGGUCUGCAAAGGGAGGGAGACACAAGUGAAGUGGAGAUUUCCCUCUCUGGGGGCUUUUGUUUCCCUCUGAUGCCCCAGCUCACACUGCACAACAAAGGGAAGAGGCGAGUGAUCUCUCUUUUGGUCUCCUGGUCCCUCAUUUCCACCUCUCCUCUGUGGGCUUCCUCUUUGAGACCCGGAGGAAAGCCUGGGGAGGAGAUGGGGGGGGGGGUCAAGUUCACAACACUAGACUACUGCUGACCUUGCCAGACCCUUCUCCUUGAGAAGCAGAGAGCCCAUUUUAGAUGCUAGCCACUCUGUGCCUUUGGGUACUUUGGCCACUUCCAAAGACUGCAUAGUUGAGGCUGAUAGCUUCACACACCUCUCUGGUUAAAAAGCAUUGAGGACAAGGUCUGGUGAUUCCUGGAAGCGGUCCUCAAAGGGCCCAACCCCCACCCCAGCACUGGAGAGCCAUACACCUCAAGCAUGCCUUGCAAGGCCCUAUAUUCUCAUCACCGCAGAAACCAAAAACUCACAGAAACACACAGGACAGCUAUUAAAUAACUCUUGGAAGAGGUUAGAGGUCUUUACCUUGGGGCUGAGACAUUUUAAAGCCCUUUUGGGUAGAUCCUCAGGGGAUACGACAUAGAAAUUAAACUUGCUGGCUCAGUUUUAAAAUCCAAAAUCUCUCUCCUCUUAAAGCUGUUCAUUGAAAACGGUUUUUAGAUACCAUGUUGUUUGCUGAUGGUUCCUCUCACCAUUCUUAGGCUGGAGAGUCUCAAGGCCGUGCCACUAAGACUUCGGAGCUAGUUUUGGGGAGCCAUCCACUUUAUGAUUAGAUCUGUUGACUUUGUCUUUAACUCUGCGGGUGGGUUUUCAGACUUGAAAAAUGUAAAUGACAAGUUAACUCCUUCCCUGCCAGCACAUUACAGGAGUCUUUUCUUAGGGGAUGCCAGCUUGGCUUGUACUCAUCAAAGUGGGCACUGUGUCUGACCUGGGCAGAAAGAGGAGAUUUGACACUUUUCAUUUCAGAGCUGACACAGGAACCUUUGGGAGCCAGUAUCUAUUUUGUUUCCGACUGCAAAGUUCCAGCCAAUGAUUUGGAGGGGGGCCGGCACCUUCUGCUGGGAGCUAGUCUGGGAGGGAACAACUCAUUCCUGAGUUCUCUUUCGCAAACAUAUCUCUUGUCUAUUAAAAUAAUAGUAAUAAAAAUAAGAAUAAUAAUUAAAAGAUGUUUGUGCUUUC